UAAGCGGAGGAAAAGAAACUAACAAGGAUUCCCCUAGUAACUGCGAGUGAAGCGGGAAAAGCUCAAAUUUAAAAUCUGGCGGUCUUUGGCCGUCCGAGUUGUAAUUUAGAGAAGCGUCUUCCGCGCUGGACCGUGCACAAGUCUCCUGGAAUGGAGCGUCAUAGAGGGUGAGAAUCCCGUCUUUGGCUCGGAUGCCUGGUGCUUCUGUGAUGCGCUCUCGAAGAGUCGAGUUGUUUGGGAAUGCAGCUCAAAAUGGGUGGUGAGCUCCAUCUAAAGCUAAAUAUUGGCGAGAGACCGAUAGCGAACAAGUACCGUGAGGGAAAGAUGAAAAGCACUUUGGAAAGAGAGUGAAACAGUACGUGAAAUUGUUGAAAGGGAAACGCUUGAAGUCAGUCGCGUCGACCGAGACUCAGCCUUGCCUUGGCUUGGUGUACUUCUCGGCCCGACGGGUCAGCAUCAAUUUUGCCCCUCGGAUAAUGGCAAGGGAAAGGUGGCACCUUUACGGGUGUGUUAUAGUCUCCUGUCGAAUGCGAGGGGUGGGAUUGAGGAACUCAGCGCGCACCUCAGUGUCGGGGCUUCGGCCCACGUCACGCGCUUAGGAUGCUGGCGUAAUGGCUUUAAACGACC
Molecule: ribosomal RNA, 627 nt
Filed under: uncultured Russulaceae
Lineage: Eukaryota; Fungi; Basidiomycota; Agaricomycetes; Russulales; Russulaceae
Description: LSU rRNA
Rfam family: Eukaryotic large subunit ribosomal RNA
Source: RNAcentral